Molecule: transfer RNA, 123 nt
Filed under: Deltaproteobacteria bacterium
Lineage: Bacteria; Pseudomonadati; Myxococcota; Myxococcia
Also listed under: 1 other name
Description: tRNA-Gly
Rfam family: tRNA
About the family: Transfer RNA (tRNA) molecules are approximately 80 nucleotides in length. Their secondary structure includes four short double-helical elements and three loops (D, anti-codon, and T loops).
Source: RNAcentral
GCAGAUGUAGCUCAACUGGCAGAGCGUUCUCCUUCGAUCGAUCUUUCGUCCAGCAAUGGGCCGAUGACCGAGGGUUAUCGACUUCCAAUCGAAAGGUUGCCGGUUCGAAUCCGGCCGUCUGCU